RNAcentral lists this ribosomal RNA (875 nucleotides) under uncultured bacterium. RNAcentral describes it as "bacterial SSU rRNA". It matches the Rfam family "Bacterial small subunit ribosomal RNA", at positions 51 to 916 of the family's 1533-position model. The record is from RNAcentral.
ACACAUGCAGUCGAGCGGCAGCACAGAGAAACUUGUUUCUCGGGUGGCGAGCGGCGGACGGGUGAGUAAUGCCUGGGAAAUUGCCCUGAUGUGGGGGAUAACCAUUGGAAACGAUGGCUAAUACCGCAUGAUGCCUACGGGCCAAAGAGGGGGACCUUCGGGCUUCUCGCGUCAGGAUAUGCCCAGGUGGGAUUAGCUAGUUGGUGAGGUAAGGGCUCACCAAGGCGACGAUCCCUAGCUGGUCUGAGAGGAUGACCAGCCACACUGGAACUGAGACACGGUCCAGACUCCUACGGGAGGCAGCAGUGGGGAAUAUUGCACAAUGGGCGCAAGCCUGAUGCAGCCAUGCCGCGUGUGUGAAGAAGGCCUUCGGGUUGUAAAGCACUUUCAGUAGGGAGGAAGGUGGUGUUGUGAAUAGCAGCAUCAUUUGACGUUACCUACAGAAGAAGCACCGGCUAACUCCGUGCCAGCAGCCGCGGUAAUACGGAGGGUGCGAGCGUUAAUCGGAAUUACUGGGCGUAAAGCGCAUGCAGGUGGUUUGUUAAGUCAGAUGUGAAAGCCCCGGGCUCAACCUGGGAAUUGCAUUUGAAACUGGCAAACUAGAGUACUGUAGAGGGGGGUAGAAUUUCAGGUGUAGCGGUGAAAUGCGUAGAGAUCUGAAGGAAUACCGGUGGCGAAGGCGGCCCCCUGGACAGAUACUGACACUCAGAUGCGAAAGCGUGGGGAGCAAACAGGAUUAGAUACCCUGGUAGUCCACGCCGUAAACGAUGUCUACUUGGAGGUUGUGGCCUUGAGCCGUGGCUUUCGGAGCUAACGCGUUAAGUAGACCGCCUGGGGAGUACGGUCGCAAGAUUAAAACUCAAAGGAAUUGACGG